AUUCAGAUGACGAACUAAAACUGUUCAACUACUGAAUGAUACAGACGUGACCUAAAACUUAAUUCUGACAGAA
Small nucleolar RNA from Cricetulus griseus (Chinese hamster), 73 nucleotides. Ensembl annotates it as small nucleolar RNA SNORD5. Lineage: Eukaryota; Metazoa; Chordata; Mammalia; Rodentia; Cricetidae. The record is from Ensembl.